GACGAACGCUGGCGGCGUGCUUAACACAUGCAAGUCGAACGGACAGGCCCUGCUUUUGUGGGGUGCUCGAGUGGCGAACGGGUGAGUAACACGUGAGUAACCUGCCCUUGACUUUGGGAUAACUUCAGGAAACUGGGGCUAAUACCCGAUAGGAGCUCCUGCUGCAUGGGGGGGGUUGGAAAGUUUCGGCGGUUGGGGCUGGACUCGCGGGUUAUCAGCUUGUUGGUGGGGUAGUGGCUUACCAAGGCUUUGACGGGUAGCCGGCCUGAGAGGGUGGCCGGCCUCAUUGGGACUGAGAGACGGCCCAGACUGCUACGGGAGGCAGAAGUGGGGAAUAUUGCACAAUAGGCGGAAGCCUGAGGCAGCAACGCCGCGUGCGGGAUGACGGCCUUCGGGUGGUAAACCUCUGUCGCCUGUGACGAAGCGUGAGUGACGGUAAUGGGUAAAGAAGCACCGGCUAACUACGUG
RNAcentral lists this ribosomal RNA (468 nucleotides) under uncultured bacterium. RNAcentral describes it as "partial 16S ribosomal RNA". It matches the Rfam family "Bacterial small subunit ribosomal RNA", at positions 28 to 507 of the family's 1533-position model. The record is from RNAcentral.